RNAcentral lists this unclassified non-coding RNA (370 nucleotides) under uncultured Flavobacteriaceae bacterium. RNAcentral's name for it is "contains 16S-23S intergenic spacer region". Lineage: Bacteria; Pseudomonadati; Bacteroidota; Flavobacteriia; Flavobacteriales; Flavobacteriaceae. The record is from RNAcentral.
UCACGGUUUGCACCGGCAGUCUUGUUAGAGUUCCCGACAUGACUCGCUGGCAACUAACAACAGGGGUUGCGCUCGUUAUAGGACUUAACCUGACACCUCACGGCACGAGCUGACGACAACCAUGCAGCACCUUGAAGAGUGUCCGAAGAAAAGCAUGUUUCCACGCCUGUCACUCCCCAUUUAAGCCUUGGUAAGGUUCCUCGCGUAUCAUCGAAUUAAACCACAUGCUCCACCGCUUGUGCGGGCCCCCGUCAAUUCCUUUGAGUUUCAAACUUGCGUUCGUACUCCCCAGGUGGGAUACUUAUCACUUUCGCUUAGCCACUGAACUUGCGCCCAACAGCUAGUAUCCAUCGUUUACGGCGUGGACUAC